Molecule: RNA transcript, 3693 nt
Organism: Apis cerana (Asiatic honeybee)
Lineage: Eukaryota; Metazoa; Arthropoda; Insecta; Hymenoptera; Apidae
Gene name: putative serine/threonine-protein kinase irlB
Source: RefSeq, a predicted model, not a curated record
GUGAUUUUUCGUCAUUAUGUGAGGGAAAGAAAUUGUUUGUUUAUACAAUCCUCGAAGAAAUAAAUACAAACAUGUUAAUGAUUUUCAAUAUUUGAGGUAUAUAUUGGUUCGUAUUGUUAGAAGAAUCCUAUGAUUGUUUACAAACGAACAACCUACAAUAUUUGUAAAUUAUUUCAGUAAUUAAGUUUUAUUGGUGAUAAACUUGAGGUAAGCGAAAUAUCGUUAACAAAGUUAACAAUACAAAACAUUUUGAUGUGAUGUGGUUCAAGGUCAAGAAAAUUUUGCUGUUCAUCGCUAGAACGUAAUAUUUGCUAUUAUGAUAUGCAGAAUAUUAGUUCUAAGAACAGCCUGAACAAGGGCCCAGAUGUGAAGAUUUUUUGCUCGAAUGCACAAUGUCAAGUCGUCAACGAGGAAUUAACAAAUUUAUGUCAACAAGUGACAGACCUAAAAGAAACGGUUGCAUCAUUAGAAAAUAUUAUACAAAUAAAAGAUAUACAAUUGCAAAAAAUGCAACGAGAAAAUGAACGAUUGUCGACCGAAUUGAAAAAACAACAAAGACAUAUCAAGAACCUCAAACGUAAGAUUAUAAAAAACUCAUUUAAGUUCAUCGCGAUCUUUAAAUGCAUCGACUUAAUUUUAGAGCAGUUGGAUGAUGAGAGGUUCCUCUAUCAAAAAGAAAAGGAUUCUUUUAACAAUGAAAUACAAAGACAGAAGACACGAUGUGCAAGUGGUGCUUCGAAAUUGCACCAACAACGAAAAGAAUUUGAGGUAGUACGAGAAUGUUUGGAAGAUGAGAAUAAGUCGCUUAGAGAAGAAUUAAAUGAGAAAAUCGAAACAACGUAUAAUUUGUGUAUAAAGUUUUUGCGAAUGAAGUAUGCUAAAGAUUCGUUGAGGCAAAAAUUUGAUCAAUUAUUGAAGGAACACUUGCAAGUAAUAACGGAUAUGAUGGAGAAACUAGAUGAAGCAAGAGAAGAACUUAAUAUAAUUGUAUCCGAAAAGUUUCAAGAGCCUUUGCCUUUAAGUAAAGCAAGAUUUUUACAGGUGGUACAAAGAAAUGCACGAUUAGUUCAUGAAAAUGCGACACUUAAGGUACAAAUACAACAUUUGACUUUAAAUAUUGAGAGAUUAAAGAGUUGUGUGCAAAAACCGAAAUCAAUAAAUGUAGAUGCAAAUAUUAUUGCGAAAUUAGCAGAACAAAGUAAAAAAAGAUGUAGUAAAGAAUCUACAAAAUGGAUACCGAUUCAUUUAUUUGAAAAUGAAAUUGAAAAAACUUUAUCAUUUACUAAACCAUCAGAUCUUCAAAAUUUCGUCAAUUAUUCUGAAGAUGUAAAAUUAAUAUCUAAAAUUCGAUCGAAUAAAUUAAAAGGGUACUCCAAUACUGCUAUACGAGAAGUUCAAACUAAAGAUACAUGGAAAUCGGGAACGGUACGCGCUCGCAGCGCUCCGGAAAUUCGAUUAACGGAAGACCGAGCAAGCUCUUCCGAUAUUAUUUUAGCAGAGUCUUCAAUGGAUGUACGACAUAUCUCAACAAAUACUUGACAAAUAUUAUUAAAUUUAAGACGUUGUAAAAAUGUAAAUGUUACUAUUAUCUUUUUUUAUAUUAUUUAUUUAUUGUUUAAAAGAUAUCGACUGUAGAAUGUAGAAUGUGAUGUAUCGACUGUAGAGUAAGUGGCGCUAAAGUAAAUCAUUUAAAUUUUGUUCACUAGAGGGCGAUUUCGGUAUGAAACGGUUUUGAUAUUUUCAGUGUCACAUCGAAAUGUGUGUGUUAGUUAUGUUCAGUGCACAUAAUUUUUUUAUAAAAAUAAUUUAAACAAUUUUUUGAAGGUGAAAGUGUAGGAACAGAACAAUAAUACGAAGCAUCUGGAUAAGGAUAAAAUAUUUUAAAGAAAUAUUCUUCCGUUUCAGAAAAAAGCGGAAAGUCCAAUGGCUGUGGAGGAACUGUACGGCCCUGAACGAGCCCGAAGAAGGGAAGCAACCGAUCCGGGGCCCGAGCGGUUCUUGCUCGUGAGCGGUCGCCUUACGCCGAGAGUAAGACAGUGGCCACGAAAUAAGAAACCGGUUGGGACCCAAUUUACUUAACAACGGCCGAGAAUCCAACACUUACGGAUGUUGCGCCCGUGCGCUCCCCGCGCCCUGUGUAUAUGCGUUACAUCGUCGGGGGUAAAUUUGUGUAGGUUUGCCACCGCCAUUACCAGCGAGAUUACAACCACUGGUCGCGGCCGAUCGCCGCCUCUAACUGUUAUUACCGCGCUAUUAACAAUGCGGUUGUUGCCCCACUGUCCUAUCCAUUGUCUCCGCCUUCGUGGCGUUUGUUACCAUUCCGAUUUACGGUUGCAAAUCGGGGAAAUUCUGAUAUUAAAACGAGUCGAGACCGACGAAAAUUUUCCUAAUCGAUCCACGCCUUUUUCCUUUUUAUAAAUAUAAUUCUAAGAAAAGACUUGGAAGAAAUUUUUCCCAAUUUUUGAACACCGUAUUACAAUAAAUACGACUCUCUGGGGGAAUUUAUUUAAAAAUUUUUACCGGAUAAUUAAUUCAUCGAGCCCUUUAAACGCGGAACGAGGAGACGCUAUUACCGGAACUUCGCCAUUGAUGUUGAGCCACGAACAGCGGUGGCUGGUAUUGGCAUGCCGGCUAUUAAUAUUGUCACGUUCACAGACGACACACAUUCUCGGCCAUCGCCAGACCACGGCCAUCCCCCUUUCUCGACGGCGCGCCGUGUCAUCACCGAUUUUCACCACCACCACCGGCGUGGCGCGGCCGCGAGGGGCCGUGUACGGUAGCCGGCUACUAAUUUCGACUUCAUCGGCCGAGAUAAGGCCGGAAUUUUUGCCACUGCGAGAACGGAUCCGGACCGGCGCUGCUACACGAGCGGGAGGAGCGGUUAAUUUUCUGAAAUCGGGAACAGACGGGAACAGUGUUGGCAAGUUUCGAUCCUGGUAAUUAGUUACUUCUGCGGAUAUCAUAUAUCGGAUCGUCGUUUAUUUGUCGUUAAGACGAGGUUAUUAUACAAGGAAAUCCCGGAAGAUGGAUGGGGAUCCGCUGAAGCGAGCAUGUGUUUCGAAGCGACAUUUUUUUAUUUGUUUUUGUUACUUAUUUCGAAAGAUCGACGAGAUCCUUUGAACGAGUAGUGAUCGAAGGAUGUAAAAAGUAUGGACGUAAUUAUAAAUUCUUGAUAGCUAGGGACCUGAUUGCCUCGCUCUUCAAUUCAGAUAAACGUUCGUUUUCUAUUUAUUUGUUUGUUUUAUUAUUAUUAUUUUUUUUUAAACUGAUACACUUUGAACGAGCACGAAAAGAAAUAUAAAGCGUAAUAUACGAUUAUAGAUUUUUAAUAAUUAAACAUCCGAUUGCCUUCGUUUUGAAUUCAAAUAAACACGAGGUGAAAAAGUUUUAAAUCCUCGGCAAGCCUUGGUUGCAAAUUCUGUUAAUCGGAUUUGCAGAAACAAAGUUGAAAAGGCGUAAUGAAUAGAUUUAAAAAAAUGGAUAUGAUUUAAAAGAUCCGAUAAGCACGUUGAAAUUAACCAAGUUUAUGACUCGAGGGGUUGUUCGAUCGUUUUAAAAAGAAAAAAAGGAGAAAAAGAUCGAAAAAUCCUUUUCAAGGUAUUCAAGAUAUUAAGAUUUUUUUUUUUUUUUUCGUUCAAAUGUUGAAAUAUUAAUACGUUUCUCAUAAAAAUACAACUAUACGCAUAAUAUAAA